Molecule: long non-coding RNA, 275 nt
Organism: Arachis stenosperma
Lineage: Eukaryota; Viridiplantae; Streptophyta; Magnoliopsida; Fabales; Fabaceae
Exons: 4
Source: RefSeq, a predicted model, not a curated record
CCAAGUUGACCUGCGAUCGACAGAAGGUCACUAUGUCUCCUCUGAAACAAUACCGGCUGUGAACUUGGGAAGUGAUGAUCCUUCCUCUCAAGGACGCACAGAACAAAGUAGUGUAAACCAGCCGUCAGAGAGCAAGUUGAGUCCGGCUGAUUCGAAUAUGAUGGUUGUGAGGGAAUAGACACCGUCGGAUGCGCUUGCAAUAGUCCCGAUUCAAGUUUUUGUGCCGCCAUCCCAAACAACCACCGUGCCGGAACUUCAAGAAACACCUGAGUCAG